GCAUGUUUUGUUUUAUACUUCAAGAUUAAAAUAAAGUAAUUACAUUAUUGAAAGUCACAUUACAAUUUAAUUAACACCUUGAACAAAAACAAUAGCCUAAUAGAAAGUGCAAAUUGUAAUUGGCCUAUAAUAAGAGGAAACAACUAUUCCUGGAAAUGACUUUAAAAUGGGAGACAAACCCAUUAGUGUCAGAAGUUGCAUGUGGAUGGCAUUCAAACUAUUCUGGCAGUAGCUAAUCAGUUACUGGUGGAUACGGCCAUUGGCUUCAAUCACGGUGGGCUCACAUAGUCUGGGAGAGGAUAAGCAGUCUGAUGGAUGAGCGCAGUUUACUCACUUCCCAUGACUGUUUGGCGGCGGUCCCAGUGCGAACAAUUUGAACACAAGUACAGGCUUUCUUUCAAGGAGAGGAGAACAAAUGUAUCGUGCAAAACGUGUCGGAGAUUAUGAAGGAGGAUCCAAUAUGAAAUCUUUCAUGUCAUAUUUUGAGACAUGGCUGAAGGAUAGCCCUGGAUGAUGUUUUCCCAGGAGUCGAUGUUGAUGGCACAAAUUGCUGUUUGAAGAGGAUGAGGCUGAUUAUGGCUGAUGACUGCAGGCAGGACUACAGUGAGCUCAGUUGGGAGUUGCUGCUUCUGCUCAGAAGGCAGAGCCUGGCAGCUUGGACAGCAGUCGAUGAGGAUUAUCAUCGAUUUUGUUGAAGAUCAGCGGAUUGGAAGUGAGACAACGGUUUUAUCAGUUUUAUUAUUUUAUUUGUUUGCCUAUUUGUACGUACAUGAUUCAAUAAUCUUUGUAAAGGUUUAAACCCAAAGCUGCUUCCCUAUUGAAUUUGGAAAAUAUGAUAAUUUAGUCUAAAAUAAGGUUAUAUUCACUUUCAUUCAAUUAAGUCUUAGUAAUCUCAGUCCAAUUAUUUAUAUGAAUAUAUUUUCAGGAAAAAGGAUCAGAAUAUAAUUCCUCCGUUUUUAUAUAUGUUUAAAACAAUAUUUUUUAACAAAA
Molecule: long non-coding RNA, 990 nt
Organism: Nilaparvata lugens (brown planthopper)
Lineage: Eukaryota; Metazoa; Arthropoda; Insecta; Hemiptera; Delphacidae
Exons: 5
Source: RefSeq, a predicted model, not a curated record